CAGCCGCCGCGGUAAUACGAAGGGUGCAAGCGUUACUCGGAAUUACUGGGCGUAAAGCGUGCGUAGGUGGUGGUUUAAGUCCGUUGUGAAAGCCCUGGGCUCAACCUGGGAAUUGCAGUGGAUACUGGAUCACUAGAGUGUGGUAGAGGAUAGUGGAAUUUCCGGUGUAGCAGUGAAAUGCGUAGAGAUCGGAAGGAACAUCUGUGGCGAAGGCGACUAUCUGGGCCAACACUGACACUGAGGCACGAAAGCGUGGGGAGCAAACAGGAUUAGAUACCCCUGUAGUCCCUGUCUCUUUACA
RNAcentral lists this ribosomal RNA (301 nucleotides) under uncultured bacterium. Its description in RNAcentral is "partial 16S ribosomal RNA". It matches the Rfam family "Bacterial small subunit ribosomal RNA", at positions 509 to 808 of the family's 1533-position model. The record is from RNAcentral.